Molecule: ribosomal RNA, 497 nt
Filed under: uncultured bacterium
Lineage: Bacteria
Description: partial 16S ribosomal RNA
Rfam family: Bacterial small subunit ribosomal RNA
Source: RNAcentral
GAUGAACGCUGGCGGCGUGCCUAAUACAUGCAAGUCGAGCGAACGGACGAGAAGCUUGCUUCUCUGAUGUUAGCGGCGGACGGGUGAGUAACACGUGGAUAACCUACCUAUAAGACUGGGAUAACUUCGGGAAACCGGAGCUAAUACCGGAUAAUAUUUUGAACCGCAUGGUUCAAAAGUGAAAGACGGUCUUGCUGUCACUUAUAGAUGGAUCCGCGCUGCAUUAGCUAGUUGGUAAGGUAACGGCUUACCAAGGCAACGAUGCAUAGCCGACCUGAGAGGGUGAUCGGCCACACUGGAGCUGAGACACGGUCCAGACUCCUACGGGAGGCAGCAGUAGCGAAUCGUCCGCAAUGGGCGGAAGCCUGACGGAGCAACGCCGCGUGAGUGAUGAAGGUCUUCGGAUCGUAAAACUCUGUUAUUAGGGAAGAACAUAUGUGUAAGUAACUGUGCACAUCUUGACGGUACCUAAUCAGAAAGCCACGGCUAACUACGUG